RNAcentral lists this ribosomal RNA (261 nucleotides) under uncultured bacterium. RNAcentral's name for it is "partial 16S ribosomal RNA". It matches the Rfam family "Bacterial small subunit ribosomal RNA", at positions 524 to 778 of the family's 1533-position model. The record is from RNAcentral.
UACGUAGGGGGGCAAGCGUUGUCCGGAUUUAUUGGGCGUAAAGAGCGUGUAGGCGGCCAAACAGGUCAGCUGUGAAAACUCGAGGCUCAACCUCGAGACGUCGGUUGAAACCGUUUGGCUAGAGUCCGGAAGAGGAGAGUGGAAUUCCCGGUGUAGCGGUGAAAUGCGCAGAUAUCGGGGAAGAACACCCCGUGGCGAAGGCGGCUCUCUGGGGACGGUACUGACGCUGAGACGCGAAAAGCGUGGGGGAGCGAACAGGAU